UACGAAGGGUGCAAGCGUUACUCGGAAUUACUGGGCGUAAAGCGUGCGUAGGUGGUUUUUUAAGUCCGUUGUGAAAGCCCUGGGCUCAACCUGGGAAUGGCAGUGGAUACUGGAAAGCUAGAGUGCGGUAGAGGGUAGUGGAAUUCCCGGUGUAGCAGUGAAAUGCGUAGAGAUCGGGAGGAACACCAGUGGCGGAGGCGGCUACCUGGACCAGCACUGACACUGAGGCACGAAAGCGUGGGGAGCAAACAGG
This 253-nucleotide ribosomal RNA is filed under the name uncultured bacterium. Its description in RNAcentral is "partial 16S ribosomal RNA". It matches the Rfam family "Bacterial small subunit ribosomal RNA", at positions 524 to 776 of the family's 1533-position model. The record is from RNAcentral.